Molecule: ribosomal RNA, 498 nt
Filed under: uncultured bacterium
Lineage: Bacteria
Description: bacterial SSU rRNA
Rfam family: Bacterial small subunit ribosomal RNA
Source: RNAcentral
GGCGGCGUGCCUAACACAUGCAAGUCGAACGGAGAAUUACGCUGAUUAAGCUUCGGCAGAUUCUUGUAAAUUCUUAGUGGCGGACGGGUGGAGUAACGCGUGGGCAACCUGCCUCAUACUGGGGGAGUAACAGCUGGAAACGACUGUUAAUACCGCAUAAGCGCACGGUAUCGCAUGAUACAGUGUGAAAAACUACCGGUGGUAUGAGAUGGGCCCGCGUCAGAUUAGCCAGUUGGCAGGGUAACGGCCUACCAAAGCGACGAUCUGUAGCCGGCCUGAGAGGGCGGACGGCCACAUUGGGACUGAGACACGGCCCAAACUCCUACGGGAGGCAGCAGUGGGGGAUAUUGCACAAUGGAGGAAACUCUGAUGCAGCGACGCCGCGUGAGUGAAGAAGUAUUUCGGUAUGUAAAGCUCUAUCAGCAGGGAAGAAAGACUCGUAAGAGAGAUGACGGUACCUGACUAAGAAGCCCCGGCUAACUACGUGCCAGCCGCCGC